This 424-nucleotide RNase P RNA is filed under the name Paenibacillus spiritus. RNAcentral's name for it is "Bacterial RNase P class A". It matches the Rfam family "Bacterial RNase P class A". From Rfam's summary of the family: Ribonuclease P (RNase P) is a ubiquitous endoribonuclease, found in archaea, bacteria and eukarya as well as chloroplasts and mitochondria. Its best characterised activity is the generation of mature 5'-ends of tRNAs by cleaving the 5'-leader elements of precursor-tRNAs. Cellular RNase Ps are ribonucleoproteins. The record is from Rfam by way of RNAcentral. Lineage: Bacteria; Bacillati; Bacillota; Bacilli; Caryophanales; Paenibacillaceae.
AAAGUUUGACAGACAAUCGCCGGCGGCCGAGAGGCCGCGGGAGGAAAGUCCGGGCUCCACAAGGCAGGGUGCUGGAUAACGUCCAGUCGGCGCGAGCCGAAGGAUAGUGCCACAGAAAUGGACCGCCGAUGGCCGCUUCGCUUCACGGCGCAACGCGCACAGGCAAGGAUGGAACCGAGGUGUAAGAGACCCCGAGGAACGCUGGUGACUUCGUUCCUGGUAAACCCCACCUGGAGCAAGACCUAAUGGAACGCCGCCGAUCCCGCAAGGGAGGAGGCAGCCCUCGCCUGGGGCGCGUUCGGGUUGGUCGCUGGAGCUGUGCAGCAAUGUACGGCCUAGAUAGAUGAUUGUCGCUUGACGUGGGAGGGUAGUUCCCGUUAUAACCACCAGAAGCACAGAACCCGGCUUACGGCAGACUUUCCUA